Tenacibaculum dicentrarchi is the source of this 35-nucleotide non-coding RNA. The record is from Rfam. Lineage: Bacteria; Pseudomonadati; Bacteroidota; Flavobacteriia; Flavobacteriales; Flavobacteriaceae.
AUUAAUACUAAAGGUCGAGAACCUUAAAAAUUAAA